This 465-nucleotide ribosomal RNA is filed under the name uncultured bacterium. RNAcentral's name for it is "partial 16S ribosomal RNA". It matches the Rfam family "Bacterial small subunit ribosomal RNA", at positions 28 to 507 of the family's 1533-position model. The record is from RNAcentral.
GACGAACGCUGGCGGCGUGCUUAACACAUGCAAGUCGAACGGAAAGGCCCUGCUUGCAGGGUACUCGAGUGGCGAACGGGUGAGUAACACGUGGGUGAUCCGCCCUGCACUUCGGGAUAAGCUUGGGAAACUGGGUCUAAUACCGGAUAGGAACCAUCUUUAGUGUGGUGGUUGGAAAGUUUUUUCGGUGUAGGAUGAGCUCGCGGCCUAUCAGCUUGUUGGUGGGGUAAUGGCCUACCAAGGCGGCGACGGGUAGCCGGCCUGAGAGGGUGUACGGCCACAUUGGGACUGAGAUACGGCCCAGACUCCUACGGGAGGCAGCAGUGGGGAAUAUUGCACAAUGGGCGCAAGCCUGAUGCAGCGACGCCGCGUGGGGGAUGAAGGCCUUCGGGUUGUAAACUCCUUUCGCUAGGGACGAAGCUUUUUGUGACGGUACCUAGAUAAGAAGCACCGGCUAACUACGUG